Molecule: microRNA precursor, 101 nt
Filed under: Marmota monax (woodchuck)
Lineage: Eukaryota; Metazoa; Chordata; Mammalia; Rodentia; Sciuridae
Source: RNAcentral
AGUGCAAUUGCUGGGUCACAUAGUAGUUCUGUUUUUCACUUAUUGAAGAACUGCCAUACUCAUCCACAGUGGCUAUACUAUUUGAUAUUUGUACCAGCAAU